This 253-nucleotide ribosomal RNA is filed under the name uncultured bacterium. RNAcentral's name for it is "partial 16S ribosomal RNA". It matches the Rfam family "Bacterial small subunit ribosomal RNA", at positions 524 to 776 of the family's 1533-position model. The record is from RNAcentral.
UACAGAGGGUGCAAGCGUUAAUCGGAAUUACUGGGCGUAAAGCGUGCGUAGACGGUUAUGUAAGUCAGAUGUGAAAGCCCCGGGCUCAACCUGGGAAUUGCAUUUGAGACUGCAUAGCUAGGGUGCGGAAGAGGGAAGCGGAAUUUCCGGUGUAGAGGUGAAAUUCGUAGAUAUCGGGAGGAACACCAGUGGCGAAGGCGGCGAUCUGGGAAGAUACUGACGCUGAGGUGCGAAAGCGUGGGGAGCAAACAGG